Molecule: unclassified non-coding RNA, 233 nt
Filed under: plant metagenome
Description: partial contains small subunit ribosomal RNA, internal transcribed spacer 1, and 5.8S ribosomal RNA
Source: RNAcentral
UCUCCGUAGGUGAACCAGCGGAGGGAUCAUUACAGAGUUCAGGCCCCCCGGGGCAGAUCUCCCACCCCUGUGUAUUUAUACCUCCGUUGCUUUGGCAGGCCGCUGGGUUUCGACCUGGACACCGGCUCUGGGGCUGGGCUGCGCCUGCCAGAAGACCUCCAAACUCUGAAUAUCGGUGUCGUCUGAGUUUAAUACAAUUGUUAAAACUUUCAACAACGGAUCUCUUGGUUCUG